This 205-nucleotide long non-coding RNA is filed under the name Capsicum annuum. Its description in RNAcentral is "long non-coding RNA (CANN_LNC014910)". Lineage: Eukaryota; Viridiplantae; Streptophyta; Magnoliopsida; Solanales; Solanaceae. The record is from RNAcentral.
CUCAGGCCAUUCAAUCAAUUUCCUAAUGAAACGUACAGUUUCUCAUAUUGUCAUCAAACUACUUAAAUUGGACGAACUACGCCAUCCUGGAUAUCCUCACUUCCAUUACUAAACUUUGAGGACUAUAACGACGUGUUUUAUCUUCAUUGAAAAGUAGCAUAAAACUUAUACUCCAAAAAGAAAAGAACAACAGACUCACACUCGC